UGAUAAAAACUCCGGUGGUACAAGAUGGACCCGCGUCUGAUUAGCUAGUUGGUAAGGUAACGGCUUACCAAGGCGACGAUCAGUAGCCGACCUGAGAGGGUGACCGGCCACAUUGGGACUGAGACACGGCCCAAACUCCUACGGGAGGCAGCAGUGGGGAAUAUUGCACAAUGGGCGAAAGCCUGAUGCAGCGACGCCGCGUGAGGAAGAAGUAUUUCGGUAUGUAAACUCUAUCAGCAGGGAAGAAAAUGACGGUACCUGACUAAGAAGCCCCGGCUAACUACGUGCCAGCAGCCGCGGUAAUACGUAGGGGGCAAGCGUUAUCCGGAUUUACUGGGUGUAAAGGGAGCGUAGACGGUUAAGCAAGUCUGAAGUGAAAGCCCGGGGCUCAACCCGGUACUGCUUUGGAAACUGUUUGACUUGAGUGCAGGAGAGGUAAGUGGAAUUCCUAGUGUAGCGGUGAAAUGCGUAGAUAUUAGGAGG
This 483-nucleotide ribosomal RNA is filed under the name uncultured bacterium. Its description in RNAcentral is "bacterial SSU rRNA". It matches the Rfam family "Bacterial small subunit ribosomal RNA", at positions 198 to 704 of the family's 1533-position model. The record is from RNAcentral.